Neofelis nebulosa (Clouded leopard) is the source of this 886-nucleotide long non-coding RNA. RefSeq lists it as uncharacterized. The record is from RefSeq and is a predicted model, not a curated record. Lineage: Eukaryota; Metazoa; Chordata; Mammalia; Carnivora; Felidae. The transcript has 4 exons.
GGUUUAGGUUCAGCGCGAUCCAAGGAACGAAGCGGUACUUGUAACGAUGCCAUCGCUGCCACAGGCCCCGAAGCAGGCGGCCCGGCAUGGCCGUCCCGCGGCGCUGUAACGAGGACAGCGCCGGAGAGGGUUGAUUCAUCUUGUUUCUGAUGAGUUUGGUCCUGUGAAAAAUGACUACUGGCAGAAAAAUGAAGGAUAAAAGUGGAAAUGAGUACAUAACCACAGGCUUGGAUAGAGAAAACAAUGGAGGAAAAAGAUGUAAUGAAAUGAGAAGCAAAGCACCUAAUUUUUGAGACCAGUUACAAAUGAUAGCAUGCGAUGGAAGGAGGAAGACAAAGGCUGGGCUGAGAGAGCUCCAAAUGGGUGUAAUGGCAGAGGCAUACGGGUGAGUCCAUGCUUCCUUACCACCUGAGACCGGCUGGAUGUGAAGAGUUACAGAGAAAAAACUGAAGAUAAAGCCAAAUCAAAACAGGCACUGGACUGUCCAAGGGAUACAGAGUAUUUCUCCUACAGAUGACAGUGCUAAGUCAAAAGCUUUUAAUGUGAUUUCUGUCUUGUAGAAAAAGGUAAAAGAAAAAAACACUCAGCAAAAUUAGAUGGAACUAUAAUGAAUGGAGUGGAAAAAUCUAAAGCCAAAAGAAAAAAAAAAAAACAAAACUCUUGUGUUCAAAUCAGCAAAGGAUAAUGAUAUGCCUAGAAUUAAAGUGCAUGUUGGGGCGCCUGGGUGGCUCAGUCACUUAAGCUACUGACUCUUGAUAUUGGUUCAGGUCAUGAUCUCACGGUGGUGAGAUAGAGCCCCAUGUCAGGCUCUGCACUGGGUGUGGAGCUCGCUUAGGAUUCUCUGUCCUUCUUCCUCCGCCCCUUCCCUGCUUGCACUCUUGCGCUC